CUCAUAUUGAAACCUAGUGAUUUAUGAGUUAGUGGCGGACGGGUGAGUAACGCGUGGAAAACCUGCCGUAUACCGGGGGAUAACACUUAGAAAUAGGUGCUAAUACCGCAUAAGCGCACAGCUUCGCAUGAAGCAGUGUGAAAAACUCCGGUGGUAUACGAUGGUUCCGCGUCUGAUUAGCUAGUUGGCGGGGUAACGGCCCACCAAGGCAGCGAUCAGUAGCCGGCCUGAGAGGGUGAACGGCCACAUUGGGACUGAGACACGGCCCAAACUCCUACGGGAGGCAGCAGUGGGGAAUAUUGCACAAUGGGGGAAACCCUGAUGCAGCGACGCCGCGUGAGUGAAGAAGUAUUUCGGUACGUAAAGCUCUAUCAGCAGGGAAGAAAAUGACGGUACCUGACUAAGAAGCCCCGGCUAACUACGUGCCAGCAGCCGCGGUAAUACGUAGGGGGCAAGCGUUAUCCGGAUUUACUGGGUGUAAAGGGAGUGUAGACGGCAGCGCAAGUCUGGAGUGAAAUGCCGGGGCUCAACCCCGGAACUGCUUUGGAAACUGUGCAGCUUGAGUGCGGGAGAGGUAAGUGGAAUUCCUAGUGUAGCGGUGAAAUGCGUAGAUAUUAGGAGGAACACCAGUGGCGAAGGCGGCUUACUGGACCGUAACUGACGUUGAGGCUCGAAAGCGUGGGGAGCAAACAGGAUUAGAUACCCUGGUAGUCCACGCCGUANACGAUGAUUACUAGGUGUCGGGGGACCAAGGUCNUCCGGUGCCGGCGCAAACGCAUUAAGUAAUCCACCUGGGGAGUACGUUCGCAAGAAUG
This 815-nucleotide ribosomal RNA is filed under the name uncultured bacterium. Its description in RNAcentral is "bacterial SSU rRNA". It matches the Rfam family "Bacterial small subunit ribosomal RNA", at positions 67 to 896 of the family's 1533-position model. The record is from RNAcentral.